RNAcentral lists this microRNA precursor (97 nucleotides) under Callithrix jacchus (white-tufted-ear marmoset). RNAcentral describes it as "mir-544 microRNA precursor family". It matches the Rfam family "mir-544 microRNA precursor family". The record is from Rfam by way of RNAcentral. Lineage: Eukaryota; Metazoa; Chordata; Mammalia; Primates; Cebidae.
GUCACCUGGGCAUCUUGUUAGGAUGCAGACUCUGGCUCAGUGGGGCCAGGAGGGGCCUGAGGUUCUGCAUUUCUAACAAGUUUCCAGGGGAUGCCAA